ACUGUCUAUGAAGGAUCCUGUGCAACACACGUGUAUAGUGAUAGUGAAAACAGGUGUACUUUCUCUGUGAACCAUUACUAAUUAAUCAAAAUCCCCUCAUCUCCUUCUCUACUUCUCUGUGUUCAUAAUAACAUCAAUAUUAAGAUUUCUUCAAAUCAUCUAUGAUAAUUGAAAAUUCGCAAAUACUUUUUGGGGUUAUAAAAAGAAAAGAGAGAUACAACUACUAUUUGACAGGAAGAUGGAAAACUAGAGAAACUUUCAUCAUUUUUUGUAUUUAUUAACGUGCCUGAAUGGCUCAACUUGUGGGCUGAUAUAGAGCUUAAUGAUGUACUUGAUAAACUGAAACCUGAGUUUAAAAAUGUAAUAAGUUAGUCAACAGAAGUUCCUGGAGUGGCUUCUGUAUCUGCCCAAGAAGACAACAGGUCUCCAGUAAUUGAAAAUGUCUUUUAUCAGCAUUUUUUAUUUGUCAUUGAUUGUUAUCGUUCAUUGCCUAGCACAGAAUUGACAUCAAGAUUUUUGAAAUUUGCUGUUGAACCAAUAAUACACAGCUUUAUGAGUUAUUUGCUUUUCAACUGUUGGUUCGUCUUCCCAAAUAGUACAAGAUUCAACUGACUUGGCUGUCAGGUAGGGAUGUCAUAUGGAGUGGAAAUGUGAAGCUAAUCAGAGAUCAGUUCCUUUCUUCGGGAAGCAAGACAAAGAUGUAUAGUUGGUCAAGUUCAGAUGAUCUUUCAAAUAAUGCAGUAAAUGUGAUAGAGGGUUUUCCUGUUUGGAUCAAAUUUGUUCCAAGUAUCAAUUUCAGAAUAGAUAAUGGACCUUUUAAGAUUAAGAAUGAAUAUGGAUCCAUGGUGUGGGAACUCAAAGCACCCGAUAAAUCUUAACGGUGGGCAGCCAAAAUGGUUGUAGGUCUUAAAACUGGUGUUCCAUAGGUUAUGUCCAAGAAAAAUGAUGCCCCUGAUCCUAUUGUAAGUGUUGUCUUUGAUUCAAUUAAUUAUUUUUCUCUUA
This is an RNA transcript of Capsicum annuum, 1002 nucleotides long. RefSeq lists it as uncharacterized. The record is from RefSeq and is a predicted model, not a curated record. NCBI's taxonomy places the organism in Eukaryota, Viridiplantae, Streptophyta, Magnoliopsida, Solanales, Solanaceae. The transcript has 4 exons.